This 3949-nucleotide long non-coding RNA is filed under the name Musa acuminata (dwarf banana). RNAcentral describes it as "long non-coding RNA (MACU_LNC007580)". Lineage: Eukaryota; Viridiplantae; Streptophyta; Magnoliopsida; Zingiberales; Musaceae. The record is from RNAcentral.
CCAACCCAGCUAGCGUCCUAUCACGCUCAAGUAGACUGGUGGAGAUGUGCUCAGCAAAGGACUAGUUGAGACGUAGUCGACAAUGGACUAGCCGAGAUGUACUCAGGCGGAGUGGCCAAGAUGUGCUCAGCAAAGGGACGCAUGUAGGUGAGAAGUUUCACCUACAAGCGGGAAGUUCACACUGUGAUGACUACUGAUGUGCCCUACCCUAAGGUCAUAUUGACCAACUAAUCAAUCCUCGGGAGAGGGUAGCAAUCUUUCAUGCAUGCCCAAUUAAGAUUAGUGUUGUCAAUGCAUAUCCUCCAACUUCCAAUAUAUUUUUUGACAAGGACUAUGUUGGAUAGCCACUAAGGGUAUUUGGCCUUGGCUAUAUACCCUGCUUCCAUUAGUCAGUCCAUCUCAUCAUUGAUCACCUUCUGCCAUUCGAGGGUGAACUUCUGAGGCCUCUACUUUAUUGGUCACACCUCGGGAAGGAUGUUCAAGUGGUGUUGCAUGACCUUGUGAUCAAUUCUCGACAUGACUUUGGGUGACCAGGCGAAGACGUCGACAUUCUUUAUCGAGAAACUGAUGAGUUGGACCUGGUCCUUCUCUGGCAGCAUGGAGCCAAUAUUCACAGUCUAAUCGAUCAUGCCUCCUCUUUGAUGGUUUUGUGGGCUGACCUCGGGGCUUUUCCGCACGUUGUCUUUUGUGGUCCUCGUGCUUCCCAGCCUCCAAUGCCUUGGCCACCAUAUACUGAUUGGCUCGCUAGAGCAUUUCUAGGAUAGUCACCGAUGGCCUCUCGAUCAACGACCAAAAGAACCCGGAUAGACGUAGUCCCAUCAAGAAUGCCUACAUAAUCAGAGAAGGAUGAGUAUUGGGGACUGCUUUGAUUUUGGUGAUGAACUGAGCGACGAAGUGGGAAAGGGGCUCAUCGUCCUUCUAGCUCAAGCCAAGAAGCAUGACCACAGAUGGCUUGGGCCAAGCAUUUGCCAAUAAGUUGAGCUCAAACUCUCUUACGAGCUGAUCAAAGGAUGAGAUCAAAGAAGGUCUCAACCUAUUUGUACCACAUCCGAGUCGGAACUUGGAGGGUGGUGAGAAAGGCCCGACAUAUUAAAGCAUCGGGUGUGCUAUACAGAGCCAUUUGGGCCUAGAAGGCGGUGACAUGCUCCACUGGGUUGGAGUAGUCAUCGUAGGCCUCCAAUGUCGAGAAGCAAAAAUUGAGGGGAAUCGACUUGUCUUGGAUCUCUAAGACAAAAGGAGAUCCCCCGAAGUUGUCUUUCCCAUGUUCUUCCUUCGACUUGUGAAACUCUCUCUGGACCUCAUCUAGGCAUCGAUUAACUAGGUGCAAUUGAGCCCUGAAAGAGUUAGUUGAGUUAGAUGACAGAGUGUCUGACUUUAGACAACUCAUGGCGGCUUAUGGGGCCUUUGGGGUACCGUACUCCGGUGUCAGUCUUCGGCCUCUUGACUAUUCUUCAUUUGACGGGCAGACAUCCACCACUCAGGGUUGUCGGUCGACCGUGGGAGGGUCCUUAGGCACAGGGGAGAGAGUUGGUGGGGUCACAAGCAAGGGCAAUUGCGAUGGCACUGUUGGGUGAGAAAGCUGGGGGAUAAGGGGAAUGAUAUUUGCAUCAUCCCAAUCAAAGCUUGAACCUGAUGGGUGAGGCUAAGGAAUACCUCGACGGAGAUGACGGAGGGUCUCGUGCUCCCCUUGGGGGAAAGAGCUUGGGGUCAUUAAACAACCUCUAGUAGUGGCUCAGGGUCUGGGACGUAGCAUUUCCAUCUGCAUGCGGAGGGAGAGGGAGUUGUCCCCCGAGGUCGAAAGUGGAAGGGGUUGCAUGCGUCCCUUCUCCAGGACGCUCGCCGAGGUUGGUCGACGGUUGGCGUUCUUGCAAUAUGGACCCUCCUUUUAGCAUCAAAAAUGUUUUGUACCUUUAUAUCGUGAUCGAGGUAUCAGCAUGACUUGGCCCGUCUCGAGUGCACAAGGUCACCAGCACAGCUUGAGUUGGAGUGUAUUAACCCGAGGUUUGGUUGAUGGGGCGUAGGCCUCGUUCUCCCAAGUGGAGGUUGAAGAUCACUCAUUUAGUUGUCUGUCGGAUGCCUGCACACAGGUCAAAAUCAGAAGGGGGAUUCCCAACUUGACCCUCUGAUGUUUAAGUAAGCAAGAGUUGAAGAUGGGAGAGUUGUAGUAUAUGUGUGUAUGAGGUUCGACUCUAGCACUAUUCCUGAGAGUGGCUUUUAUACCUAUUGUCAUGUGUUGACGUACGUAAAUGUUAAUGAUUGUUGGCAUCUUCGUACAUAGGUGUUUAAAGGCACCGUCGCCAUGGGUGGUCAGCUCGUAUGUUGAGACACGGGCACAAGUCUGAUUUGUUCGGCUCUACUUCAAUCGACGUUACUUUAUGCCUCUAAAGUAGCUCAGGACAGGGAUACGUUGCUCCGUACAACCUCGAGCAGUGUUAGUGGAGUGUGCUUGUGACAUAAACGGUAGGUGAUUGCAUCGAGGUGUUGAGUUGACUCGAUGUACCACAUUAGUCUUGAAAUAGCGUGUUAAGUCCGUCGUGAUAGUCGAGUGUCCGCAGAGUGGAUAUCAUAUAUAAUAAUAUCCCACCUUGGAUGUUUUAGUUGGAUCAACAGUCUGGUCAGCAAGUAGCAGGAUGUAUCCACCCCUUCUUUUGGCUGUUUUUCUCAAAGACCGAGGUAAAAGAGUAGUAUGAGUAGCUCCAACAUCAAGUCCCAACCAGGGAAGGGAAUGGAAUCGCGGGCGAGCCAACUUGCACUGGAAAACACCAGCCAUGCCAAAACAACUCACCGCCACGGCAGCUGCUGACAUGCGUACAUCGCUACUUCCAUGUGCUUCCUGCACAACGAAGGGCAUCAUACUUUUAACAGGUUGAACAUUGAAGGACCAGACGGAAUUGUCUGCCAGUGUGGCCCCCAGGACACGGUUGCAGAUUACCCGUGUGUUUGAUAUGGGACAGCCUCGCCAUUGCCCAGUCCAUGGACGUGGCAUGCUGCGGGCCGUUGACCACGCGGCCCCCUGCGAGACAAAAGUAGAACAGCCAAUGGACGUCAAAGCAAAUGCAUAGAAUAGACAGCUCGAGCGGCUCGCACCUUCCUGAAACCAUCCUUGUCUUCCUUCCUACAACAAACAAAAGAGGGCAUCAUAUGACACAUCUUUCCAACUCGUUCCGCAAACAAUUCCGCUUGUCGAUUACCACGCAGCUUCCUCGCCUGAUUCACUUUGGAUUUCCGCGUCAUUCUCGCCCAAUUCCCUGCUUAUAAAUCGCCCACCCUAGUGGAACGGGUGGUCACAUCUCCCUGCACAAGCCACAAGCCACAACCCCCACCGUGAGAUCUUGGGGGAGCACCAAGGAAGAGGAGGAAGUCCUUCGAAGUGGAGCAUCGAAGAAGAGGAGAAGAUACUUGCGUGUUCUUUGUGGUGUCGACAUGGGGUUCCCGGCGGGCUACUUGGAGCUGCUUCUGCUGCCAAGAAUCCUCCUCCACAUAGCCCUAAUCCUUGGCUCCGUGCGGCGGCUCGUUUUCUGGGUCUUCCACGCGGUCGGCCUCGGUGACCUCGUCGACUCCGACGCCCCCUGGCCCGAGAACAGCGGCCACAGCCGGCUCGACCAUCACCACGACUACCACCAGCAACCGUCGCAAUUCCGGUCGGUGUCGGCGAUGCUGAUCCAGGAGGCGCUCCCGGUGGUGCGGUACGAGGAGCUGGUGGCGGCGGGACAGCACGUCGGCGGCAGUUGCGCGGUCUGCCUGUGCGAGUUCGAGGACGCGGAGGAGGUCCGGCGGCUGACCAAUUGCAGGCACGUCUUCCACCGCGGCUGCCUUGACCGGUGGCUGGAGUACGACCAGCGGACUUGCCCGCUGUGCCGCACGCAGCUCGUUGGGGAGGAGACGCAGGACGCCCUCGACGAUCAAAUGUGGGCCGCCGCUGGUGUCCCGGAUUCGUACUACGACGACU